UGCAGAUGCUUCCAGGCUGGUGGAUA
This 26-nucleotide non-coding RNA is filed under the name Homo sapiens (human). Lineage: Eukaryota; Metazoa; Chordata; Mammalia; Primates; Hominidae. The record is from RNAcentral.